AAACCAACAGGGAUUGCCCUAGUAACGGCGAGUGAAGCGGCAACAGCUCAAAUUUGAAAUCUGGCUCUCGGGCCCGAGUUGUAAUUUGUAGAGGAUGCUUUUGGUGAGGUGCCUUCCGAGUUCCCUGGAACGGGACGCCAUAGAGGGUGAGAGCCCCGUCUGGUUGGACACCGAGCCUCUGUAAAGCUCCUUCGACGAGUCGAGUAGUUUGGGAAUGCUGCUCUAAAUGGGAGGUAUAUGUCUUCUAAAGCUAAAUACUGGCCAGAGACCGAUAGCGCACAAGUAGAGUGAUCGAAAGAUGAAAAGCACUUUGAAAAGAGAGUUAAAAAGCACGUGAAAUUGUUGAAAGGGAAGCGCUUAUGACCAGACUUGGGCUUGGUUGAUCAUCCGGCGUUCUCGCCGGUGCACUCUUCCAGUUCAGGCCAGCAUCAGUUUGCUUCGGGGGAUAAAAGUUUCGGGAAUGUGGCUCCUCCGGGAGUGUUAUAGCCCGUUGCAUAAUACCCUGAUCCAGACUGAGGUUCGCGCAUUUAUGCAAGGAUGCUGGCGUAAUGGUCAUCAGCGAC
Molecule: ribosomal RNA, 563 nt
Filed under: Fusarium sp. OTU36 TS-2013
Lineage: Eukaryota; Fungi; Ascomycota; Sordariomycetes; Hypocreales; Nectriaceae
Description: eukaryotic LSU rRNA
Rfam family: Eukaryotic large subunit ribosomal RNA
Source: RNAcentral